UGUGCUGAAGGUUUACGGACAGCUGACCU
RNAcentral lists this non-coding RNA (29 nucleotides) under Homo sapiens (human). The record is from RNAcentral. Lineage: Eukaryota; Metazoa; Chordata; Mammalia; Primates; Hominidae.